This 261-nucleotide long non-coding RNA is filed under the name Populus trichocarpa (black cottonwood). RNAcentral's name for it is "long non-coding RNA (PTRI_LNC002508)". Lineage: Eukaryota; Viridiplantae; Streptophyta; Magnoliopsida; Malpighiales; Salicaceae. The record is from RNAcentral.
UAAAAUUUAAAGAAAAUCCUGAACUUUCCUACGAUAGUACCGUAAACCUUUUAAAAGGGAUUAUAAUAGAGUUUUGUCUUCUCCUUGUGCUUCCUCUGCGUCACUUUUCUUACUUGGCUAAUGAUGAUGAUAAACCCUUGGAAACAGAAACUUUAACAAAGAAGAAAAACCCUAUUUGGAACUUGCUUCCUUUUUUAUUUUUUAUUAUUAUCCUACCUGGGCUACAGCCCACCGGAGCCUUGUGAAAGGCUCCGCCCUUGC